UUUCUCGAUAGACAUAUUCUUGGACCU
RNAcentral lists this non-coding RNA (27 nucleotides) under Rattus norvegicus (Norway rat). The record is from RNAcentral. Lineage: Eukaryota; Metazoa; Chordata; Mammalia; Rodentia; Muridae.